This 253-nucleotide ribosomal RNA is filed under the name uncultured bacterium. Its description in RNAcentral is "partial 16S ribosomal RNA". It matches the Rfam family "Bacterial small subunit ribosomal RNA", at positions 524 to 776 of the family's 1533-position model. The record is from RNAcentral.
UACGUAGGGCGCAAGCGUUAUCCGGAAUUAUUGGGCGUAAAGAGCGUGUAGGCGGCCAGAUAAGUCCGCUGUAGAAUCUCGAGGCUCAACCUCGAGACGCCGGUGGAAACCAUCAGACUAGAGUCCGGAAGAGGAGAGUGGAAUUCCUGGUGUAGCGGUGAAAUGCGCAGAUAUCAGGAGGAACACCGGUGGCGAAGGCGGUUCUCUGGGAAUGACCUGACGCUGAGGAGCGAAAGUGUGGGGAGCGAACAGG